Molecule: long non-coding RNA, 1654 nt
Organism: Parus major (Great Tit)
Lineage: Eukaryota; Metazoa; Chordata; Aves; Passeriformes; Paridae
Source: Ensembl
GGAGGAGAGAGCGGAGCCGGCCGUGCCCGCCAGGUUGGGAAGCGGCCGGGAGCGGGGCGCGUGGGGCGGCGGAGGGGAGGCGGGCGGGAGGCGGCGGGCGGGCAGGCCGGUGUGAGCUGUUUGGCCACCGGAGCCAAUCGAAAGCGGGGCCUUGAUCCUCUCCUCGGGCAGUGGCUGCGCCGAGCCAGUGCCGCGCUCCCCGCAGCCCUCGGGACCGGCACGGCCGCCUCGCUCUCUCCGCGCACCGCCGGCCCCACCGAGCGCCUAUGGGCAUCUGCAGCCGGCGAGGGCUUCGCACCACCGCCACCGGCAGCAGCGGCAGAGGGCGGCGACCGCCACCCCGCUUCAUCGCCCCUUGGGAUCUAUAGCCGGCGGACGGAGCGCGCUGCGGAGCCUUCCCCGCCUCCGUGCAGGUGCAGAGGAGUUUCUGGUCUAUUGUGGAAUGUAUUUGGACUGAUGCAUUACUCUGAUGAACAUUGUGAGAGACAUCAAUGCACAGUGAAACAACAGAAAACUGGGGGAGUGUAUGGAAGCCGAUUUAACAGAAAGCUGUCAGUGCCUUUAACAAAAAUAAAUAUUACUUUGCAAUUGAUUAAAAAUAAGAGCUGUAUAUUUAAGAUGGCAGGCAUCUUUCCCUGUUUAAAUGCUAACUAAUCCAAACUUCAAACUUAAUUCAACUGCUGUACAGUUUCCAUCUCUUUCUUCUAAUUACAAAUGGGAAGAGGGUGUGUUCCCUGGUGCUUCUGACUUGUGUGCAGGGUAGGUUAUCACACUUAUUCUAAGGUCUGGUAACUUUUCAAGCUUUUAGGCCUGAAUGCAGGAAGCCAAUUAAGUGUUUGCUUAACUUCUACAGUGUUAGUUUAAAGCUGCCCUGUCUUAAUCAGAGUCCUAAUUACUAAAAUGCUCCCAUACCUGCAUGAGAGCUUAGUCCUAUCUGUUGACUGUUAAUUAUAUUACAUUUAUUCUUGCAUAAAAGCAGCUGUAGUUAAAUGGAAAGCCUUAGCUCACGUGGUUCUCAGAAUCACCCAGGCUUUUGGAGGAUGAAGGUGCCUUUGUAGAGUAACAAGGGAGAAGCUUAAUGAACAGGUUCUGUGCACAAGGCAUGUUCCCUUUGACUGGCUGGUCAUUGUGGUGUCUGUACGGUGGCAGAUGCACCAGCUGGUGCUCUUUGCCAUUGAAGCCAUCUCCUGAGAAACAGAACGGGGCCAAAUGUACAAACUGCUUCAGCCUUCUGCUGAAUGAAUGCUCCUGAAUGUUUGCCUUGUGUUUUUCUUACUCAGUUAUUAGCAGCAUCACUCCAUCUCUUACCAUGUCACGUGAGUGCACAACUUACGCUUUUGCUUGAGGAGGGCAAAAAUCCAUAUGAAUUCAAGAGCAGAACAAGUGACCAACUCUUUUUACAGCUCUAGUGCUCUGUUCUGAAAGGGAGGUUGGACAAAUAUGUGCAUUCAAAAUAUAUUAUAAUUCUGACAGAUUUUAAUUUUUUUUCCAAGCUAUAAACCGGGAGUUUGGUUCUAUCUCAUGAGUAUAUGGCAAAUCUGUUACCUGGAAAGAGGAUGGAAAAGUGUUUCCUCCAACUUUUUUUUUGCCAAACCACUCUACUUGUUUGUUUGUCCUUAAUUCAGUUUAGUUUAAUUUUGUAUUGCAGUAAUUG